Molecule: long non-coding RNA, 415 nt
Organism: Mustela lutreola (European mink)
Lineage: Eukaryota; Metazoa; Chordata; Mammalia; Carnivora; Mustelidae
Exons: 3
Source: RefSeq, a predicted model, not a curated record
CAGGCAAUCCUCAGGAACUCGGCAGAAGAGGACUCGGAUUCCUAAGCAGCCUGCAUCGAUCUGGGGAAAGCUGGAAAUGAAUUAAGAUUCAGAGAUGAUAGGAAGUUGAAGAAUCUAAGAUGGAGUUCUGCAGGAAAAGCUGGUGUGUCUGCAGGCAGGAAGUCUCUAUCACAAAUGUCCAAUGGAUGCAGAACGAGGUUCCAGAUUUUCUAGAAUAUAUAUUGCUGCGGACUGAGCUGUGUCCCCCAAAUCCAUGUGCUGAAGACCUAACACUUAAUGCGCUGGUAACUGGAGAUGGUGCCUUCAGGAGUGAGGACACAGGGAGAAGGAAGCUGUCUACAGGCAAGGAAGAGGCCCUCACCAGAAACCAAUAACGGUGGGACCCUGAUCUUAGACAUCAAGCCUCCAGAACUGU